CUUGUUUAGCUAGCCUACUUGUGUAUCGAGCUAUCUAACUGGGAAGCUAAGAUCACAUUAUUUGCACCGCCGUAAAGAUGCGAAAGUCAUGAGAAAUUAAAUGAAUUAAUAGAUGCAGGUUUAUGUAUUUAAUGGCAGAAAAUACAUUCGCAGUAUGUGAUACGUUAGGGACGUCGUAGCCUAAUUACCGUUUAAACUCCAGGAAGUUUGUGUGGGGAAAUCACUUGCUUGACGUUACAAAGAAUGUCAAUCCUGUGCGCUGUCGACAAUGCACUGAAACAGUGUGAAGUUGAAGAGGGUCGCUCCAACGACAACAUUUUCUUAUGUAGAGAUUUACUGACACAUAUGAAAAUUCGUCAUGCAUACUCAAGAGAGGAUACAGUUGCCAAAGAUGAUUCUAUAGAUAUUUCUCCUGAGGUGACAGAAGAGCUGGAGCAGCUGGAAAAGCUGCUUGAAAAGGCACGGAGAACCCUGGCCACACAUGCAGACCCAAGAGCCAGUACUGCGAAGGGAAAAGGGAGGACUCCUUCCCUGUUAAAUUCCCACAGAAAACAAAGCGAGAAUAUCACCAAAGUCAGCUUUGACAAAAGACCUCCCCAAGUGGCAAAGGCAUCAUCUCAUACCAAAGCAACACAAAGGAUUCCCGGAGCUCAUGGGCAAACGACCCAGGGUGGCCUAUUGAGAGGGCCUGGCCAAACAGAGACCCAUAAAUCAGGAGAGGCUCCACCUCUAAACUCAAAACAAACUAAAGUUUCAGUUGAUAAAAUUUGCACUCAGAACUUGGUUACUAAUGGCAAACUGAAGACUCAACGGAAAACCCUUUCUUCUGGUGAUGAUCUAUGUAGGACCAAGACACUCGGACCUCCUGAUGCUAACGUUAAGGCAAUUUUAGAAGAGAAGUGGAUUCCAUCUCCUCUCCUGCAAUCUUGGACAGCAAUGAGGAGCAAACAAAGCAGCCAGGCAGUAUAGAUGAAAGCUCCUGUCUUUUAAAAGGUUAUGGGACAAGGUGUUGGCCAGAGGUACACAAGUUGUUCCUGAGAAGACACACUUUACGGAGAAGCUUCAAAAUACUUUCCCUAUGGAGAUGCUUUCUGAUGCCCCUGCUGACGCCAGUUCUAGGAUGGGUUGCCUCACUGAGCUAGGCAGGGCACUCCAUUUUUGUCACCAUGCCGAGCGCAGCAUUAACCAGUCUUCAACUGAAGUAGACACUGGGAGACAACAUAAGUCUGAAGCAAUGCUCAAUGGACUUGAGGAAAUGAUGAUGGGUGUGCUGGCCCACACUGGGCAAAUGAUCUCAGUACUGGAUAAGUAUCACAGACAGGAGCCUGAAGUGUUGUGUCCAGUUAGAAGGAGGGGAGCAUGGGGAGACCCACAGAGACCCUGCCUGCCCCCUACUGUCUGCUACGACCAUCAGGCUGAGCUACAGGAGGUAGCUCACCUGAGACUGAGGGUGCAGCUACUACAGCAGGAGACAAAGCUCCAGCAGAUUCUCAGAGAUCGUCUCCACUGGGGUUUGCCUUCCUUCUCUGCUGUUGACCUGAGAGGACAGUAUUCUCUCCUGGGGGAGGGAGGACUAUAUUUCCCUACUCUUGUAAUGGACACUGAGCCAGAUUGAGUUGAAGUUACUUCAGCAGUCCAGAAGAGUUGAUGUGUGAGUGUUCUGCCAUUUGUGUCUGUUGUGAAAGUUUGGAAGGUGUAUUUUCAUAUGUAUAUAUAUAGUUUCUGGAAAUGAGCGCUGUUUGUGUGUGUGUGAGCUGUAUGUUCGUGUUGAGCUGUUUUGAGUGUUUAGUCAGAAAAACACUAGCAUAUCAGGAUUUUCAUUAAAGCCAAUCAUGUGGUGGUAAUAUGUGGGAAUUUGUGCCUGCUUAGUGUGUUGCAAUUUUAUUUCACCAGCAGAGGGAGCCAUCUAAAACUGACCUACUCUGAUGUUGCUAUUCAAUUUCAAUAUGGUUGGAUAGACUUGCAUUUUGAAUAAAUAAAUACUUUCAAAAGUC
Alosa alosa (allis shad) is the source of this 1994-nucleotide RNA transcript. RefSeq lists it as uncharacterized. The record is from RefSeq and is a predicted model, not a curated record. Lineage: Eukaryota; Metazoa; Chordata; Actinopteri; Clupeiformes; Clupeidae. The transcript is spliced from 10 exons.